GGCGGCUGAGGUAGUGGUGGUGGCUACAGUGACGGCCUGGACCCAGGCGGGUAGAGUUGGAGGUGGUGGCGUUCCCUUUCCCUAGGGGCCGUCAGGAGCUCAGCGAGGACCGAGCCUAGGAGGCUGGCCAGCGCCAGCACCUUGCCGCUUUUGGGACCGUGGCAGCAGCGGCGUUCAGAUUCUAAAUGGCUUCUAAGAAGUUGGGUGCAGAUUUUCAUGGGACUUUCAGUUACCUUGAUGAUGUCCCAUUUAAGAUAGGAGACAAAUUCAAAACACCAGCUAAAGUUGGUCUACCUAUUGGCUUCUCCUUGCCUGAUUGUUUGCAGGUUGUCAGAGAAGUACAGUAUGACUUCUUGUUGGAAAAGAAGACCAUCGAGUGGGCUGACGAUAUUAAGAAAAUCCAAGAAGUUGAGCGGGAAGCAGAGCGCAAGAUUGAGAAAGCAGAAGCUAAAGGGAAUUCACAGAGUGGCCCAGAGGGUGAUAGCAAAAUGAGCUUUUCCAAGACUCACAGUAGAGCCACGAUGCCACCUCCUAUUAACCCCAUCCUUGCCAGCUUAUAGCACAAUAGAAUCCUCACCCCAAUUCGGGUCAGCAGUAGUGCCACGAAACAGAAAGUUCUCAGCCCACCCCACACAAAGGCAGAUUUCAAUCCUGCUGACUUUGUGUGUGAAGAAGACCCAUUUGAUAAUCUGGAGUUAAAAACUAUUGAUGAGAAGGAAGAACUGAGAAACAUUUUGGUAGGAACCACUGGACCCAUUAUGGCUCAGCUAUUGGACAAUAACUUACCCAGAGGAGGUUCUGGGUCUAUGUUAGAGGAUGAGGAGGUUCUGGCAUCCUUGGAGCGGGUGACCCUAGACUUCAAACCUCUUCAUAAACUCAAUGGCUUUAUAACCUUACUACAGUUGGGCAACUGUGAAAAGAUGUCGCUGUCUUCCAAAGUGUCCCUCCCCUCCAGCCCUGCAGUAAGCAAUAUCAAAUCCCUGUCCUUCCCUAAACUUGACUCUGAUGACAACAAUCAGAAGACAGCCAAACUGGCAAGCACUUUCCAUAGCACAUCCUGCCUCCGCAGUGGCAUGUUCCAGAAUUCCCAAAAGCCUUCUACCCAAAGCAGUGCCAGUGAGCUCAGUGGGCAUCAUACUCUUGGGCUUUCAGCUUUGAACUUGGUCAGUGGCACAGAGAUGCCAACCCUGACGCGCCGCCCGAUGCCUUCCCACUCUUUAUUGUCUGUGUACAUGGAAGAAUCAUCACCUCCAAAUACAGGUCCCACAUGCCCAACAUGCCCAGCUGUCCCCAGGCCUAUUCUGAACUACAGACACUGUCUCCCAGUGAGCGGCAGUGUGUGGAGACAGUGGUCAACAUGGGCUACUCAUAUGAGUGUGUCCUGAGAGCCAUGAAGAAAAAAGGAGAGAACAUUGAACAGAUUCUCGACUAUCUCUUUGUACAUGGACAGCUUUGUGAGAAGGACUUUGACCCUCUUUUAGUGGAAGAGGCUCUGGAAAUGCACCAGUGUUCAGAAGAGAAGAUGAUGGAGUUUCUUCACUUUAUGAGCAAAUUUAAGGAAAUGGGCUUUGAACUGAAAGACAUUAAGGAGGUUUUGCUAUUACACAAUAAUGACCAGGACAAUGCUUUGGAAGACCUCAUGGCUCGGGCAGGAGCCAGCUGAGACCAGGCCCUGCCUAGAUCCUGUUGCAGAGACAACACCCCCAGGAGGCCCUGCAGAGCCCACUUAUGGGAAAGGAGAAGGGGCGCACUUCUGGAUUUUCUUUUGGGGUUUAGAAGGUCAGAUGUAGAGACUGUGCUUGCCAGUCUCUGAGCCUAGGCCAUUAGCUGGGGAGAAAGGGGGGGAAGAUCUGGGCAUGUGAAUGGCCCCAGAACAGUGCUGGCUCCUUCCAUAUGAAAUGUAUUUGCAAUUUGAGAAGCGUCCUUCCCACCUCAGCCCUCCAGAGAGACUGUCCUGGUCUUUCUGGGGUCUUUGUGUACUCAGCUGAAACCUGGCUAAGAGUUGUCAGGGAGCAGGGGUGAGAGGACGAGACUCAGUGCUGCUUUCCCUCCACUCUACACAGUGGACUGAACUCCAAUUUUAAGUUGAGUGCAAGUGAAAGUUUUUUUUAGGGCUUUAUUUUUCCCUCCUUUUAACAAAGUCUCUUAAUGUUGACACUGGUUCUGCAAAGCCUCUGAG
RNA transcript from Nycticebus coucang (slow loris), 2179 nucleotides. It is a transcript of the gene named ubiquitin-associated protein 1-like, with no coding region annotated. The record is from RefSeq and is a predicted model, not a curated record. The transcript has 2 exons. NCBI's taxonomy places the organism in Eukaryota, Metazoa, Chordata, Mammalia, Primates, Lorisidae.